Molecule: long non-coding RNA, 563 nt
Organism: Oncorhynchus masou masou (cherry salmon)
Lineage: Eukaryota; Metazoa; Chordata; Actinopteri; Salmoniformes; Salmonidae
Exons: 3
Source: RefSeq, a predicted model, not a curated record
AUUUGCAACUGCGACCUGGCCAAGAUAAAGCUUAGCAGUGUGAACAGACAACACAGAGUUACACAUGGAGUAAACAAUUAACAAGUCAAUAACACAGUACAAAAAAGGGGAGUCUAUAUACAUUGUGUGCAAAAGGCAUGAGGAGCAUGCGUCUAUUCUGAUAUAAUCUACAUUUCCUGAGAAAGGAUCCUGGCCUCUUCUUCCCUGGAAUCACAAAGCUGUCACUGCAGUCUUCCAUGUUGAAAUUUAGACAAGAGAACAACGCCUCCUUAUGCCUUUCCCUCAGGAAUAAUCUCCGGACUCUCAAUGGCAGAGAUGUUGUCACGGAAACCAGUCUGGCAGCCACUUUAGAACCGUCAACAUGCAUGACAGCUAAUUUUCUACCCUGAAUUUUUUUACUUUUAAAUUAAUUAAAUAGCCAUUGAUUCUCAAAGAAUAUGACAUAAAUGUCUAACAAGCUUAGUUGAACUGUCUUACUCAUCAGAACCCCAACUAUAUGCUUGCUUUAGCCAAUUGUUUGUAAACCAAAUAAUUGUAAACAAUGUAUAGCUUCAAAACAUGAU